GUAUAUAGCUCAGUUGGUAGUGCUUGCCCCUCAUGCACAAGGUCCUGGGUUCAAUCCCCAGCACCACA
This 68-nucleotide transfer RNA is filed under the name Marmota monax (woodchuck). RNAcentral describes it as "tRNA.Glu". The record is from RNAcentral. Lineage: Eukaryota; Metazoa; Chordata; Mammalia; Rodentia; Sciuridae.